This 1399-nucleotide ribosomal RNA is filed under the name uncultured bacterium. RNAcentral's name for it is "bacterial SSU rRNA". It matches the Rfam family "Bacterial small subunit ribosomal RNA". The record is from RNAcentral.
AGGGUUUGAUCCUGGCUCAGAUUGAACGCUGGCGGCAGGCCUAACACAUGCAAGUCGAACGGUAACAGGAAGCAGCUUGCUGCUUCGCUGACGAGUGGCGGACGGGUGAGUAAUGUCUGGGAAACUGCCUGAUGGAGGGGGAUAACUACUGGAAACGGUAGCUAAUACCGCAUAACGUCGCAAGACCAAAGAGGGGGACCUUCGGGCCUCUUGCCAUCGGAUGUGCCCAGAUGGGAUUAGCUAGUAGGUGGGGUAACGGCUCACCUAGGCGACGAUCCCUAGCUGGUCUGAGAGGAUGACCAGCCACACUGGAACUGAGACACGGUCCAGACUCCUACGGGAGGCAGCAGUGGGGAAUAUUGCACAAUGGGCGCAAGCCUGAUGCAGCCAUGCCGCGUGUAUGAAGAAGGCCUUCGGGUUGUAAAGACUUUUCAGCGGGGAGGAAGGGAGUAAAGUUAAUACCUUUGCUCAUUGACGUUACCCGCAGAAUAAGCACCGGCUAACUCCGUGCCAGCGGCCGCGGUGAUACGGGAGGGUGCAAGCGGUAUUCGUAAUUACUGGGCGUCAAGCUCACGCACGCGGUUUGUUAAAUCAGAUGUGAAAUCCCCCGGGCUCGACCUGGGAACUGCAUCUGAUACUGGCAGUCUUGAGUCUCGUAUAGGGGGGUAUAACUCCGCGUGUAGCGGUGAAAUGCUUAGAGAUCUGGAGGAAUACCGGUGGCGAAGGCGGCCCCCUGGACGAAGACUGACGCUCAGGUGCGAAAGCGUGGGGAGCAAACAGGAUUAGAUACCCUGGUAGUCCACGCCGUAAACGAUGUCGACUUGGAGGUUGUGCCCUUGAGGCGUGGCUUCCGGAGCUAACGCGUUAAGUCGACCGCCUGGGGAGUACGGCCGCAAGGUUAAAACUCAAAUGAAUUGACGGGGGCCCGCACAAGCGGUGGAGCAUGUGGUUUAAUUCGAUGCAACGCGAAGAACCUUACCUGGUCUUGACAUCCACAGAACUUUCCAGAGAUGGAUUGGUGCCUUCGGGAACUGUGAGACAGGUGCUGCAUGGCUGUCGUCAGCUCGUGUUGUGAAAUGUUGGGUUAAGUCCCGCAACGAGCGCAACCCUUAUCCUUUGUUGCCAGCGGUCCGGCCGGGAACUCAAAGGAGACUGCCAGUGAUAAACUGGAGGAAGGUGGGGAUGACGUCAAGUCAUCAUGGCCCUUACGACCAGGGCUACACACGUGCUACAAUGGCGCAUACAAAGAGAAGCGACCUCGCGAGAGCAAGCGGACCUCAUAAAGUGCGUCGUAGUCCGGAUUGGAGUCUGCAACUCGACUCCAUGAAGUCGGAAUCGCUAGUAAUCGUGGAUCAGAAUGCCACGGUGAAUACGUUCCCGGGCCUUGUACACUCCGCCC